GCGCCAGUAGCUCAGCUGGAUAGAGCAACUGCCUUCUAAGCAGUAGGUCAGGGGUUCGAGUCCCUUCUGGCGCG
This 74-nucleotide transfer RNA is filed under the name Clostridium sp. CAG:964. It matches the Rfam family "tRNA". Rfam says of the family: Transfer RNA (tRNA) molecules are approximately 80 nucleotides in length. Their secondary structure includes four short double-helical elements and three loops (D, anti-codon, and T loops). RNAcentral also lists the same sequence under 2 other names. The record is from Rfam by way of RNAcentral. Lineage: Bacteria; Bacillati; Bacillota; Clostridia; Eubacteriales; Clostridiaceae.